Molecule: non-coding RNA, 115 nt
Organism: Triticum urartu
Lineage: Eukaryota; Viridiplantae; Streptophyta; Magnoliopsida; Poales; Poaceae
Source: Rfam
CACCCUCUCCCUCCGUUCCGAAUUACUUGUCGCAGGUAUGGAUGUAUCUAGAUGUAUUUUAGUUCUAGAUACAUCCAUUUCUUCGAUGAGUAAUUUGGAACGAAGGGAGUUGUUG